UCAAAGAGGCAGCGUCUCAGCAGAACAAAAAUGCGCGGCUUCAAUGGAUCAACUAAAGCACCAAAUUUUGCCAAUGUGCUCACUGCAGCAGCCCGAACAGUAGCAUUCUCAAGAUGCACACGGUUGUAGAUGUAGCGUAUAUAUUUGCUGGGAUCUGAGGUCUUUGGCCCCUCAUUCCCCAGGAAAUGGAGUAUCUGUGUUGAAAGGUAUGUAAAUUCACAAUCUUCAAUGAACUCACACAAAUGAAGCAACCCACUUUCCUUUGCUUCAGGGAUAUCUCUAAUGAGGAUCACUAUGGA
This 299-nucleotide unclassified non-coding RNA is filed under the name Hevea brasiliensis (rubber tree). Lineage: Eukaryota; Viridiplantae; Streptophyta; Magnoliopsida; Malpighiales; Euphorbiaceae. The record is from RNAcentral.